UCGUGGACCAAUAGCGGUUGAAGCUGCCAGCAUGAUCUAAACUUCCCUCUUGGUCAAGGAAAGAUCAGAUCAUGUGGUAGCUUCACCUGUUGAUGGGGAUCACGA
Non-coding RNA from Malus domestica (apple), 105 nucleotides. RefSeq annotates it as microRNA MIR167d. NCBI's taxonomy places the organism in Eukaryota, Viridiplantae, Streptophyta, Magnoliopsida, Rosales, Rosaceae. The record is from RefSeq and is marked provisional.